CCUACGGGUGGCAGCAGUGAGGAAUAUUGGACAAUGGAGGGAACUCUGAUCCAGCCAUGCCGCGUGCAGGAAGACUGCCCUAUGGGUUGUAAACUGCUUUUGUACGGGAAGAAACACCCCCACGUGUGGGGGUUUGACGGUACCGUAAGAAUAAGGACCGGCUAACUCCGUGCCAGCAGCCGCGGUAAUACGGAGGGUCCGAGCGUUAUCCGGAAUCAUUGGGUUUAAAGGGUCCGUAGGCGGGCGGCUAAGUCAGUGGUGAAAGUCUGUGGCUCAACCAUAGAAUUGCCAUUGAUACUGGUCGUCUUGAAUCGAUGUGAAGUGGUUAGAAUGAGCAGUGUAGCGGUGAAAUGCAUAGAUAUUGCUCAGAAUACCGAUUGCGAAGGCAGAUCACUAACAUCGUAUUGACGCUGAGGGACGAAAGCGUGGGGAGCGAACAG
This 440-nucleotide ribosomal RNA is filed under the name uncultured bacterium. RNAcentral's name for it is "bacterial SSU rRNA". It matches the Rfam family "Bacterial small subunit ribosomal RNA", at positions 338 to 775 of the family's 1533-position model. The record is from RNAcentral.